CUGAUUCUGUUUGAUUAAUUUUUCUAGUUUCCCUGUUUAUGUACUCUUCUUCUCUGCUUGCUUGCUCUCUCUCUCUCUCUCUCUCUCUAUCUCUCUCUAUCUUUCUCUCUCUCUCCCCUCACACCUGCAGCUCGUUUCUAAUCUAAUCAGCCAUCUUUAAUCAAGCGCCUCAUUACAACCUAUUCUCAGUCACUCCUUGGUAAAUCCCGUUACUAUCCUGUCAGUAUCCUGCCAUCUUUUCCCUUGGGUUUAUUUGUUUGUUCUGCUGUGGCUCUCAGUGGUUUUUUUGUGGGAGUGACAGCGGCAAGCCUGCAUGUCAGUCUCAACACAGGAUUUAAUUCGGUCCUGACAGACAAAGACCGGAGACGACAGGCACAUGACGAAAGCCAGUGAGCAGAACGGGUCACACCUUCCCGCUGACGCUUGUGAUAAGAGCUGCACCGAACUCACUGGAGGGGAAGACGGAGCAUCGUGUUGACUCUGCUGCACAUAAAGAUCUAAAGUCCAGACUGUCCCUCUGGGACACCAUCUGUCCCAGUGAAAGCACCACAGAGGCUGUUCUCUGGACCUGGACAUGCUUCCAGCAGGAUCCAUACCAGCCCGCCUCAGACUGGGCAGUAAAAACGGCAUGAGACGCAGAGACGUAUCCCUGGGGAGGGGAAAGUCUGAACGACCGACAGAUUCCCUGAAAUGAGUCGUAAAUCCCAACCAACGAACGCUGUGUCCCAACGCAAUCCGUCCAGAGUGUCCCUUUCUGCCUCACUGUGGGACUCUGUAAUGUCUGUCAGGGCGGUCUCUGUCCCCAGCUCCCAUGGAUCACUCUGCAGUAAGACUGUGUGUCAUAAAAAUGCUUGUUGCAAUAAUGACACAGGGAAUAAUGUGAAAGAUAUGUGCAGACUCAUAUGUGCAAAGAGAAGAAGUACAAAACUUGAAAAGUUUUAUUGGGACACUAUUUAAGCAACAAAUUUAAAUGUUUGCAUAAUUGUGAUGGAAGGGGGAAAUGAUACAUGAGCUAGAAAAUAUUUUUACAAAUAAAAAUCUGAAAUGUG
This is a long non-coding RNA of Poecilia latipinna (sailfin molly), 1049 nucleotides long. RefSeq lists it as uncharacterized. Lineage: Eukaryota; Metazoa; Chordata; Actinopteri; Cyprinodontiformes; Poeciliidae. The record is from RefSeq and is a predicted model, not a curated record. The transcript has 4 exons.